UGGGGAAUUUUGGACAAUGGGCGCAAGCCUGAUCCAGCAAUGCCGCGUGCAGGAUGAAGGCCUUCGGGUUGUAAACUGCUUUUGUACGGAGCGAAAAGGCUUCCACUAAUACUGGGGGCUCAUGACGGUACCGUAAGAAUAAGCACCGGCUAACUACGUGCCAGCAGCCGCGGUAAUACGUAGGGUGCAAGCGUUAAUCGGAAUUACUGGGCGUAAAGCGUGCGCAGGCGGUCUUGUAAGACAGGUGUGAAAUCCCCGGGCUUAACCUGGGAACUGCACUUGUGACUGCAAGGCUGGAGUACGGCAGAGGGGGAUGGAAUUCCGCGUGUAGCAGUGAAAUGCGUAGAUAUGCGGAGGAACACCGAUGGCGAAGGCAAUCCCCUGGGCCUGUACUGACGCUCAUGCACGAAAGCGUGGGGAGCAAACAGGAUUAGAUACCCUGGUAGUCCACGCCCUAAACGAUGUCAACUGGUUGUUGGGUCUUCACUGACUCAGUAACGAAGCUAACGCGUGAAGUUGACCGCCUGGGGAGUACGGCCGCAAGGUUG
RNAcentral lists this ribosomal RNA (548 nucleotides) under uncultured bacterium. RNAcentral describes it as "bacterial SSU rRNA". It matches the Rfam family "Bacterial small subunit ribosomal RNA", at positions 355 to 896 of the family's 1533-position model. The record is from RNAcentral.